GUUUUAGCUGAGCGGAUGAUUUUUGCGAAAUUGUGCAUUUUUUCAUUCCAGGCUCCAAGCAUCAACUGGACCAGAGAUGCUGUCUUGAGAAGACAUGCUCCAUGAGCCGGCCUCCCUCCAGGUCCGGGGACAGGACUCGGGUCCCGCUCUGGUCCAGCAGGACGGACAGCACAGCCUGGCUCAGGUCAGCCCGGUUCAGCUCGGAGCACCGAGACGCCACAUCGUCCCAGACUUCCACUGAAGAGCCAACGUCCUGCAGCAUCGCCUCCUCCAGAGCCCCUGAGAGGAUGGAGACACAGAAAGAACAGAACGCAGGAGCAGCUUUCAGUGUGAAGCUGCCAUCAGAGCGGUGUUAGUGCUCACCUUGUCCUCUACUGACACAGCUGUCCAGGAGCUGCAGAGCGAGCUGCUGCCGCUGAGGGUCGGCCAGGAGAGAGGAACAGGACACGCCUAACGACAAGAUGGCCGCCCGACCCUGCUGUGGCGCCGUCAACAGCUGGAUGAGGACAAGGCUGGGCGAGAGACUCAGAACCCACAUACAGUCCUCUGAGAGACAUUCAGAUUCAAUUAUAUAUUUUCACCGACAUUAACACAUUAUUAUUCAGAAACCAAAAGUGCCAUUCCAUUUUGCUAAAGUUUGAAUUAUUGUGUCCCUCGAUCAAUAUUGGGGCACUAAAUAAAGAGUUA
This is a long non-coding RNA of Eleginops maclovinus (Patagonian blennie), 687 nucleotides long. RefSeq lists it as uncharacterized. The record is from RefSeq and is a predicted model, not a curated record. The transcript has 3 exons. NCBI's taxonomy places the organism in Eukaryota, Metazoa, Chordata, Actinopteri, Perciformes, Eleginopidae.